Molecule: ribosomal RNA, 1302 nt
Filed under: metagenome
Description: bacterial LSU rRNA
Rfam family: Bacterial large subunit ribosomal RNA
Source: RNAcentral
CACACGACCGUACCGCAAAUCGACACUGGUGCGCGAGAUGAGUAUCCUAAGGCGCUUGAGAGAACUCAGGAGAAGGAACUCGGCAAAUUGACACCGUAACUUCGGAAGAAGGUGUGCCUUUCGUAGGUGAAGGGAUUUACUCCUAGAGCCCAAUGAGGUUGCAAAAAAUCGGUGGCUGCGACUGUUUAUUAAAAACACAGCACUCUGCAAACACGAAAGUGGACGUAUAGGGUGUGACGCCUGCCCGGUGCUGGAAGAUUAAAUGAUGGGGUGCAAGCUCUUGAUUGAAGUCCCAGUAAACGGCGGCCGUAACAAUAACGGUCCUAAGGUAGCGAAAUUCCUUGUCGGGUAAGUUCCGACCUGCACGAAUGGCGUAACGAUGGCCACACUGUCUCCUCCUGAGACUCAGCGAAGUUGAAAUGUUUGUGAUGAUGCAAUCUCCCCGCGGAAAGACGGAAAGACCCCAUGAACCUUUACUGUAGCUUUGUAUUGGACUUUGAACAGAUCUGUGUAGGAUAGGUGGGAGGCUUUGAAGUAGGGUCGCUAGAUCUUAUGGAGCCAACGUUGAAAUACCACUCUGGUGUGUUUGAGGUUCUAACCUAGGUCCAUUAUCUGGAUCGGGGACAGUGCAUGGUAGGCAGUUUGACUGGGGCGGUCUCCUCCCAAAGCGUAACGGAGGAGUUCGAAGGUACGCUAGUUACGGUCGGACAUCGUGACGAUAGUGCAAUGGCAUAAGCGUGCUUAACUGCGAGACUGACAAGUCGAGCAGAUGCGAAAGCAGGACAUAGUGAUCCGGUGGUUCUGUAUGGAAGGGCCAUCGCUCAACGGAUAAAAGGUACUCUGGGGAUAACAGGCUGAUACCGCCCAAGAGUUCAUAUCGACGGCGGUGUUUGGCACCUCGAUGUCGGCUCAUCUCAUCCUGGGGCUGUAGCCGGUCCCAAGGGUAUGGCUGUUCGCCAUUUAAAGAGGUACGUGAGCUGGGUUUAAAACGUCGUGAGACAGUUUGGUCCCUAUCUUCCGUGGGCGCUGCAGAUUUGAGGAAGCCUGCUCCUAGUACGAGAGGACCGGAGUGGACACACCUCUGGUGUAUCGGUUGUCACGCCAGUGGCAUUGCCGAGUAGCUAAGUGUGGAAGAGAUAACCGCUGAAAGCAUCUAAGCGGGAAACUCGUUUCAAGAUGAGAUCUGCCGGGGCCUUGAGCCCCCUAAAGAGUCGUUCAAGACCAGGACGUUGAUAGGUCGGGUGUGGAAGCGCAGUAAUGCGUUAAGCUAACCGAUACUAAUUGCUCGUGCGGCUUGACCCC